CUACGGGUGGCAGCAGUGAGGAAUAUUGCACAAUGGAGGAAACUCUGAUGCAGCAACGCCGCGUGGAGGAUGACGCAUUUCGGUGUGUAAACUCCUUUUAUAUGUCAAGAAAAUGACGGUAGCAUAUGAAUAAGCUCCGGCUAGCUCCGUGCCAGCAGCCGCGGUAAUACGGAGGGAGCAAGCGUUACUCGGAAUCACUGGGCGUAAAGGACGCGUAGGCGGGAUAGAAAGUCAGGUGUGAAAUCCUAUGGCUCAACCAUAGAACUGCACUUGAAACUUCUAACCUAGAGUAUGGGAGGGGAAGAUGGAAUUAGUGGUGUAGGGGUAAAAUCCGUAGAUAUCACUAGGAAUACCAAAAGCGAAGGCGAUCUUCUGGAACAAUACUGACGCUAAGGCGUGAAAGCGUGGGGAGCAAACAGGAUUAGAUACCCGGGAGUC
Molecule: ribosomal RNA, 438 nt
Filed under: uncultured bacterium
Lineage: Bacteria
Description: partial 16S ribosomal RNA
Rfam family: Bacterial small subunit ribosomal RNA
Source: RNAcentral